CGAAAGCCUGACGGAGCAAGACCGCGUGGGGGAAGAAGGCUCUUGGGUUGUAAACCCCUUUUCUCUGGGAAGAAAGUUGUGAAAGCAACCUGACGGUACCAGAGGAAUCAGCAUCGGCUAACUCCGUGCCAGCAGCCGCGGUAAGACGGAGGAUGCAAGCGUUAUCCGGAAUGAUUGGGCGUAAAGCGUCCGCAGGUGGCAGUUCAAGUCUGCUGUCAAAGACCGGGGCUUAACUUCGGAAAGGCAGUGGAAACUGAACAGCUAGAGUAUGGUAGGGGCAGAGGGAAUUCCUGGUGUAGCGGUGAAAUGCGUAGAGAUCAGGAAGAACAUCGGUGGCGAAGGCGCUCUGCUGGACCAUAACUGACACUCAGGGACAAAGCUAGGGGAGCG
RNAcentral lists this ribosomal RNA (390 nucleotides) under uncultured soil crust cyanobacterium. Its description in RNAcentral is "bacterial SSU rRNA". It matches the Rfam family "Bacterial small subunit ribosomal RNA", at positions 376 to 770 of the family's 1533-position model. Lineage: Bacteria; Bacillati; Cyanobacteriota. The record is from RNAcentral.